UACGUAGGGGCUAGCGUUAUCCGGAUUUAUUGGGUUUAAAGGGUGCGCAGGUUGUUUGAUAAGUCAGUGGUGAAAGUCUGUCGCUCAACGGUAGGAUUGCCAUUGAUACUGUUAGACUUGAAUAUGGAUGAGGUAGGCGGGAUGUGUAGUGUAGCGGUGAAAUGCAUAGAUAUUACACAGAACACCGAUUGCGAAGGCAGCUUACUAAUCCAUCAUUGACGCUGAGGCACGAAAGCGUGGGGAUCAAACAGGAUUA
This 256-nucleotide ribosomal RNA is filed under the name uncultured prokaryote. Its description in RNAcentral is "partial 16S ribosomal RNA". It matches the Rfam family "Bacterial small subunit ribosomal RNA", at positions 524 to 780 of the family's 1533-position model. The record is from RNAcentral.